Molecule: unclassified non-coding RNA, 105 nt
Organism: Cercocebus atys (sooty mangabey)
Lineage: Eukaryota; Metazoa; Chordata; Mammalia; Primates; Cercopithecidae
Rfam family: Y RNA
About the family: Y RNAs are components of the Ro ribonucleoprotein particle (Ro RNP), in association with Ro60 and La proteins. The Y RNAs and Ro60 and La proteins are well conserved, but the function of the Ro RNP is not known. In humans the RNA component can be one of four small RNAs -- hY1, hY3, hY4 and hY5.
Source: Ensembl
GGCUGGUUCGAGUGCAGUGAGUGGGGUCUAUAACUAACUGACCACAAUCAGUUACAGAUGCCUUAGUUCCUUCUCCACUCCCACUGCCCACUGGACUGACCUAAA